ACCGAAUUAUACAUACACUGUCGUCCGUUAGACCAGAAAUUAUUGCAGUCGUGAUUUGAGCGUAGAUCGAAACGGUCGACAAGACAAACUAGUAUAUAUACAGAAAGCGAUCGUUGAUUUUGGUGUAAAUUGUGAAUUUGCACAAGAAAGACGUGUGCUGUAUGGUGACAACGACAAUAAUUAUUUUGUAGUGCCUAUAAUAUAAUAUACAUAAUACGUGGUUUGUGAAUGGAAGAGAGACGCGAGAAGAAGACGAAAAUAUAGAACCACAAAUAUAUCUUAGCUCUUAAAAAG
Molecule: long non-coding RNA, 294 nt
Organism: Bradysia coprophila
Lineage: Eukaryota; Metazoa; Arthropoda; Insecta; Diptera; Sciaridae
Gene: wgn
Source: RefSeq, a predicted model, not a curated record